Molecule: long non-coding RNA, 263 nt
Organism: Drosophila bipectinata
Lineage: Eukaryota; Metazoa; Arthropoda; Insecta; Diptera; Drosophilidae
Source: RefSeq, a predicted model, not a curated record
AUUUUCUUGCAUUUCUAUGUAUAUUGUCUCAAAAGAAGAAGGAUAAGUGUUAUAAGCGCAGUCGCGGUAAAGGUGGUGUUGGAGCUAGCUGUGGAAAUUAAUUGAAAAGUGGAUCAACAUGGAACUCAAGCGAAAGCGAGAAAAUUCACUCGUGUGGCAGCAUUUUCAAAAAACUGGAAAUCAGAGUGCAACUUGCAAGCGGUGCUGUAAGAUAUAUAAAACGUGUGGGAACACAUCUACCCUGCUCGAUCAUCUGAAACGGG